CCUACGGGAGGCAGCAGUGAGGAAUAUUGGUCAAUGGCCGGAAGGCUGAACCAGCCAUGCCGCGUGAAGGUCAGUGCCCUAUGGGCGUUAAACUUCUUUUGUGCGGGAGCAAUAAUGGUCACGUGUGGCCAGACGAGAGUACCGUACGAAUAAGCAUCGGCUAACUCCGUGCAGGCAGCCGCGGUAAUACGGGGGAUGCAAGCGUUAUCCGGAUUUUUUGGGUUUAAAGGGUGCGUAGGCUGUGAGGUAAGUCAGCGGUGAAAUGCUCCCGCUCAACGGGGUGAAGUGCCAUUGAUACUGCCUGGCUGGAUUGCGGAUGCGGUGGGAGGAAUGUGUGGUGUAGCGGUGAAAUGCAUAGAUAUCACACAGAACACCGAUUGCGAAGGCAGCUCACGGAUCCGCGAUUGACGCUGAUGCACGAAAGCGUGGGUAUCAAACAGGAUUAGAUACCCCUGUAGUC
This 460-nucleotide ribosomal RNA is filed under the name uncultured bacterium. RNAcentral describes it as "partial 16S ribosomal RNA". It matches the Rfam family "Bacterial small subunit ribosomal RNA", at positions 338 to 795 of the family's 1533-position model. The record is from RNAcentral.